AACGCACAUUGCGCCUCUCGGUAUUCCGGGAGGCACGCCUGUUCGAGCGCCAUUACACACCCCAAGCUCUGCUUGAUGUUGGACGACGUCUGUGACAAGACGGGUCUGGAACGCGUUGGCGCCGCCGACGGACCACGAGCGUAGCAGGACGCAAGUCAUCGCUGAGUUGGCUCCGGACGGAGGGCGGCCUCUGGCUCCUGGUAACGCAGGAGCCGACAGCCCAUCACAAGUUUGGCCUCGGAUCAGGCGGGGAUACCCGCUGAACUUAA
This 269-nucleotide unclassified non-coding RNA is filed under the name uncultured fungus. RNAcentral describes it as "partial contains 5.8S ribosomal RNA, internal transcribed spacer 2, and large subunit ribosomal RNA". Lineage: Eukaryota; Fungi. The record is from RNAcentral.